CGCGUAGGUGGUUCGUCAAGUUGGAUGUGAAAUCCCCGGGCUCAACCUGGGAACUGCAUUCAAAACUGUCGAGCUAGAGUAUGGUAGAGGGUGGUGGAAUUUCCUGUGUAGCGGUGAAAUGCGUAGAUAUAGGAAGGAACACCAGUGGCGAAGGCGACCACCUGGACUGAUACUGACACUGAGGUGCGAAAGCGUGGGGAGCAAACA
RNAcentral lists this ribosomal RNA (207 nucleotides) under uncultured bacterium. RNAcentral's name for it is "partial 16S ribosomal RNA". It matches the Rfam family "Bacterial small subunit ribosomal RNA", at positions 568 to 774 of the family's 1533-position model. The record is from RNAcentral.